GGGGGGAGCAAGCGUUGUUCGGAUUCACUGGGCGUAAAGGGUGCGCAGGCGGCUAAGUGUGUCAGGUGUGAAAUCCCGGGGCUUAACUCCGGAACUGCGCCUGAAACUACUUGGCUAGAGCAUUGGAGAGGGAAGUGGAAUUCACGGUGUAGCAGUGAAAUGCGUAGAUAUCGUGAGGAACACCAGAGGCGAAGGCGACUUCCUGGACAAUUGCUGACGCUCAGGCACGAAAGCGUGGGGAGCCAAAGGGAUUAGAUACCCCUGUAGUCCACGCCCUAAACGGUGCAUACUAGGUCUUGGCGGAUUCGACCCCGUCAGGGCCCAAGCUAACGCGUUAAGUAUGCCGCCUGAGGACUACGGCCGCAAGGCUA
This 371-nucleotide ribosomal RNA is filed under the name uncultured organism. RNAcentral describes it as "bacterial SSU rRNA". It matches the Rfam family "Bacterial small subunit ribosomal RNA", at positions 527 to 896 of the family's 1533-position model. The record is from RNAcentral.